RNAcentral lists this unclassified non-coding RNA (253 nucleotides) under Kofleria sp. Its description in RNAcentral is "partial 16S ribosomal RNA". It matches the Rfam family "Bacterial small subunit ribosomal RNA", at positions 524 to 776 of the family's 1533-position model. RNAcentral also lists the same sequence under 1 other name. The record is from RNAcentral. Lineage: Bacteria; Pseudomonadati; Myxococcota; Haliangiales; Kofleriaceae.
UACGGAGGGUGCAAACGUUGCUCGGAAUCAUUGGGCGUAAAGCGCACGUAGGCGGUCCGGUUAGUCGGAUGUGAAAGCCCUAGGCUUAACCAAGGAAGUGCAUUCGAAACUGCCGGACUUGAGUACGGGAGAGGAUCGCGGAAUUCUCGGUGAAGAGGUGAAAUUCGUAGAUAUCGGGAGGAACACCAGUGGCGAAGGCGGCGGUCUGGACCGAUACUGACGCUGAGGUGCGAAAGCGUGGGGAGCAAACAGG